RNAcentral lists this small nuclear RNA (65 nucleotides) under Pongo abelii (Sumatran orangutan). Lineage: Eukaryota; Metazoa; Chordata; Mammalia; Primates; Hominidae. The record is from RNAcentral.
AGAGAUGAUUAGCAUGGCCCCUGUGCCAGGAUGACAUGCAAAUUUGUGAAACAUUCCAUUAAUUU